UACGAAGGGGGACUAGCGUUGUUCGGAAUUACUGGGCGUAAAGCGCACGUAGGCGGCUUUGUAAGUUAGAGGUGAAAGCCCGGGGCUCAACUCCGGAAUUGCCUUUAAGACUGCAUCGCUAGAAUUGUGGAGAGGUAAGUGGAAUUCCGAGUGUAGAGGUGAAAUUCGUAGAUAUUCGGAAGAACACCAGUGGCGAAGGCGACUUACUGGACACAUAUUGACGCUGAGGUGCGAAAGCGUGGGGAGCAAACAGG
This 254-nucleotide ribosomal RNA is filed under the name uncultured bacterium. Its description in RNAcentral is "partial 16S ribosomal RNA". It matches the Rfam family "Bacterial small subunit ribosomal RNA", at positions 524 to 776 of the family's 1533-position model. The record is from RNAcentral.